This 482-nucleotide ribosomal RNA is filed under the name uncultured bacterium. RNAcentral describes it as "partial 16S ribosomal RNA". It matches the Rfam family "Bacterial small subunit ribosomal RNA", at positions 30 to 507 of the family's 1533-position model. The record is from RNAcentral.
AUUGAACGCUGGCGGCAUGCUUUACACAUGCAAGUCGAACGGCAGCGCGGGGCAACCUGGCGGCGAGUGGCGAACGGGUGAGUAAUACAUCGGAACGUACCCAGAAGUGGGGGAUAACGUAUCGAAAGUUACGCUAAUACCGCAUACGUUCUACGGAAGAAAGUGGGGGACCUUCGGGCCUCAUGCUUUUGGAGCGGCCGAUGUCUGAUUAGCUAGUUGGUGAGGUAAAGGCUCACCAAGGCGACGAUCAGUAGCUGGUCUGAGAGGACGACCAGCCACACUGGUACUGAGACACGGCCCAGACUCCUACGGGAGGCAGCAGUGGGGAAUUUUGGACAAUGGGCGCAAGCCUGAUCCAGCAAUGCCGCGUGAGUGAAGAAGGCCUUCGGGUUGUAAAGCUCUUUUGUAAGGGAAGAAACGGCUGAGGAUAAUACCUGCGGCUAAUGACGGUACCUGAAGAAUAAGCACCGGCUAACUACGUG